Molecule: ribosomal RNA, 486 nt
Filed under: uncultured bacterium
Lineage: Bacteria
Description: partial 16S ribosomal RNA
Rfam family: Bacterial small subunit ribosomal RNA
Source: RNAcentral
GACGAACGCUGGCGGCGUGCUUAACACAUGCAAGUCGAACGCUGAAGCCCUGGCUUUUGUUGGGUUGGAUGAGUGGCGAACGGGUGAGUAACACGUGAGUAACCUGCCCUCUUCUUUGGGAUAACGCCCGGAAACGGGUGCUAAUACUGGAUAUUCACUGAUCUUCGCAUGGGGGUUGGUGGAAAGGUUUGUUCUGGUGGGGGAUGGGCUCGCGGCCUAUCAGCUUGUUGGUGGGGUGAUGGCCUACCAAGGCUUUGACGGGUAGCCGGCCUGAGAGGGUGACCGGGCACAUUGGGACUGGGAUACGGCCCAGACUCCUACGGGAGGCAGCAGUGGGGAAUAUUGCACAAUGGGCGAAAGCCUGAUGCAGCGACGCCGCGUGAGGGAUGGAGGCCUUCGGGUUGUAAACCUCUUUCGCUCAUGGUCAAGCCGCAACUGUGGGUUGUGGUGAGGGUAGUGGGUAAAGAAGCGCCGGCUAACUACGUG